RNAcentral lists this long non-coding RNA (537 nucleotides) under Equus caballus (horse). Its description in RNAcentral is "lncRNA (ENSECAG00000051745.1)". Lineage: Eukaryota; Metazoa; Chordata; Mammalia; Perissodactyla; Equidae. The record is from RNAcentral.
CCCAGGUGUGGCAGUACACAAUUAUUUCAGGAGUUGGAAGGUGGGGCGGACUCCCUAUGUGGCAUGGCUGUUUGAGAUGACCAGUGGCACAAGUCUGCUGUAGCCAACAAGCCCCAUUGCCCAUGGGCCCAUAAACUCUACCAAUACAGUUCUGCCCUGUGUGCAUGCCCUUCCCCACCGAAGCACACCCACCCGCCCCACUGCUGAGAUCCAACACGGUCCACCUAGCAGGCCCAGAAGUUGCCUGUGGACUUGCUGGCAAAGACACCAGAGAUUAUCGAGUCACAAAAUCUCCCUUGGUUCAGCCUUCAGGUGGAGAUUUUCCUUUGCUGAACUUGCAGGGCUCAUGUCCAUGAGAGAAAGACCCACAAGAGGAACACUGAGGUUUACUCCUCUCACUCACUUAAUGGCGGUCCCUUCUGCAUGUUGUGCAGAUGCAUUGUUUCAUCAUGGCCGUGCUUAUGGGCAAGAGAUGCAAGGAGAGAGAACUGAUGAUUAACCAAUGCACAGAGAAAAUACUCUGAAUUUCAAAGUGAC